GGGGCAGAACAGAGAGGUGAUGAGAAGGGAUGGAGGGAGGGAAGGAGACAGAAGAGGAGUAGGAGAGUAAGGGGUGGUUGGGGGAGUUUGUGGUCGGACAAUGGGUGAUCAGUAGAUGGAAUGAUUGGGGGAGGACAAAAAGUGGGGAUUUCGGGAGACAGGGAGUUGAGGAUGAUGGUUAUAUACAUGAGGAAGGGAAGAGAGAGAAAAUGGAGGGAUUACUUGUCAUGUGAAUGAGAGAGAGUGACUGAUAAGAGCAUGAGAAAAUAAUCAACAGUUAACAAUGGCAUCAUCAGGUCACAUAAACAUAAGAUUACAGCAGCUGAAAGCAUGUCCACAUGAUCAGGGUAGGAGGCGAAAUCACAGAGAUGGAGUGAAUUAACAGAGAAACAGAGAAAAGAUGCAGUCAAACAACUAAGUAAGUAAACCAAGCAAUCCCAUUUAAAGGCUUCUAAAAUAACUGUGUUCGCAUUGACAGGAAAAUAAAAAUAAAACAAACAGAGUGAGUCAAUAUGAACAACAGUUGUGAAACAACCAUAUAAGGGCAUAUAAUGUUUGCUACUUACAAACUGAACCUGGAACAAAUUAGUGUGAGCAGAGAGAGGGGUGGGAAGGGGGAUGUCGUGAGAGCUUUACAACGAGUACACUUUUAAACAAUCUUCCGCUCUAACUGUGGCUGAACAGUAUGUAUGUGACAAAUGUGUCAGGUGGCUUGGUUAUUUGUAAAUAUUCCAUCGACUUCAUGAUUUACACACUACAGAUAUCACACCACUGUACUGCUAUGGCCAUUUCAUCUAGGUCUAAUUCAUUGCAGUUUUUAGUUUCAUGUGAACUAGAUUUCAUGGUUUCUUGGCAGAAAACAGAAAUGGUUUAUUCCUCUCCCAACUAGCCAGAGGUGCCCAUUAAGCCAAUGAGUAGUCACGUGUCUCUGGGCAAGAAGGGGUUUGGAUAGAGCCUAUCGGGGAGGGGGGGGGGGGGGGCACAACAGGAAAAUCUCAGGGGAUAACCAUAGCUAAAUACAGUGUCAGAGAAAACUAUGUGUCCAGAGAUUUGCCUGGCAAAUAAAGGAAACACAAGGCUUGGAGAUAGGAAUGACAUUUCCAUAGGCAGACAAGGACCAUUAAGGUAUAGUGCUCCAUUUCUAUUUGAGGCUGCCACAGAAUUUAACAUUUACUUUUUUAAAUGUAUAGCACAAGCUAUUUAGUUAAUGUGUUUUUGAAAUAAGGGUGAGUCAAAGUUCUGGAGAAUCUUUCACAAAACAUAAGGCAUGGUAAAACUAAAUUGCAGAACGAGCAGAGAGGGGGAGUAAUAGAAGAAAGUUGUGACAAAAAAACAGACUUUGUUUUCUCUUUAGACUCACUGAUUUGGUGUGGUUCAUCUGCCUACAGCACUGAGAUGAGGUACAAACUUACUCAUCGUCAUCAUAUGGGCAAUGGACUUUGUAAUUACCGUAGUUUAGAGUCUACAAUCAUGACAGCUAUGACCAUUCACAAUAAAUGAGUAUGGAUGGUUGGCUAGUGGGUGUGAGAGAUACUCCCUGAGAUCAGAGAGAGGGUAGUAAUGGUCACAAAUCAAUAUCAAGGAAAACGGACAUGAAAAUAACGAUGUUGUAGAUUUAUAUUGAUGGUUUCUAUUUUCCUGACUGUGACAGAGAAAUGUUAGCACAGAGGCUAGCUCUUUUUAAAGUCAAACUGUAGCCAACGAGGGGAGGGGGGAGGUGGAGAGCACCCUGUCCAAGGUUCACUUGCUGUUCUCUUUAAAUAGUCACUACAGGUCACAUUAUGCACUGGGCAGGCCCACUUUGUGCCUCGUAAUGAUUUAAUAUGGAGUUGUUCUGUUAAAGAUCCAGGCUUUUCUGAACUAGGUUUAACUAACUGGAUGCUUUGAGAAUUAAGUAAUUGACGGUUGAGAAGCCGACAGCAAAGCAGAAGACAUCAGCAAAAAUAAAAAAACAUCUCAGAGAGUGUAUGGCUUUGACUGUUGUAUGUAAUAUAUCAUUAAUAAAAAAUUUUGUAUCAAAUUUGUACCUGCAAUGGAAGCAACUCAGUGUGACAUUGCACAUUUUGCAUCAGAAAAAGUUAAAAUACACCAA
Seriola aureovittata is the source of this 2092-nucleotide long non-coding RNA. RefSeq lists it as uncharacterized. Lineage: Eukaryota; Metazoa; Chordata; Actinopteri; Carangiformes; Carangidae. The record is from RefSeq and is a predicted model, not a curated record. The transcript has 2 exons.